GAUGAACGCUGGCGGCGUGCCUAAUACAUGCAAGUCGAGCGAACAGAUGAGGAGCUUGCUCCUCUGACGUUAGCGGCGGACGGGUGAGUAACACGUGGAUAACCUACCUAUAAGACUGGGAUAACUUCGGGAAACCGGAGCUAAUACCGGAUAAUAUAUUGAACCGCAUGGUUCAAUAGUGAAAGACGGUUUUGCUGUCACUUAUAGAUGGAUCCGCGCCGCAUUAGCUAGUUGGUAAGGUAACGGCUUACCAAGGCAACGAUGCGUAGCCGACCUGAGAGGCUGAUCGGCCACACUGGAACUGAGACACGGUCCAGACUCCUACGGGAGGCAGCAGUAGGGAAUCUUCCGCAAUGGGCGAAAGCUUGACGGAGCAACGCCGCGUGAGUGAUGAAGGUCUUCGGAUCGUAAAACUCUGUUAUUAGGGAAGAACAAAUGUGUAAGUAACUAUGCACGUCUUGACGGUACCUAAUCAGAAAGCCACGGCUAACUACGUG
Molecule: ribosomal RNA, 497 nt
Filed under: uncultured bacterium
Lineage: Bacteria
Description: partial 16S ribosomal RNA
Rfam family: Bacterial small subunit ribosomal RNA
Source: RNAcentral